This 415-nucleotide long non-coding RNA is filed under the name Struthio camelus australis. RNAcentral describes it as "lncRNA (ENSSCUG00000010088.1)". The record is from RNAcentral. Lineage: Eukaryota; Metazoa; Chordata; Aves; Struthioniformes; Struthionidae.
GAUGCCAGUUGCUCCAGGGAAAUUUCUAGUACCUUUUAUUUGGAGAAUUGGAAACAGAUCCCUAAAUGCAAGAUAAAGGAGACACUGGGAUCCCUUCCUAUGAUGCUAAGAGAACUGCAGUUUGGCAGCACAGAGGAAGUUCGGAAGAUCCGGAAGCAGAAGCAUGCCAGUGUUGCUCUCAGUUCUGCAAGGGAGAAAGCCACGCAUCUCCUGUUUGGUGCAACUAGCGGUGCCCACCACCAGGCCACGCCACUGGGAGACCUCGCGCAAGUCCACAGAGCACCAAGAGCUAACGGAGACCCAGAUGCUGCCGUUCCACCUCUGAGCCUCUCACUCUAUGCUUUGUUAGCUUCAGUAAGUGGCUUAAACCUUUCUUUUUAAUCUAUAAAACACAACUGCUAUCUCUUUGGGAGGC